GUAUCUCUGUAGAGUCUGCAUAUCAAUAAGCGGAGGAAAAGAAACUAACAAGGAUUCCCUUAGUAACGGCGAGUGAAGCGGGAAGAGCUCAAAUUUGAAAUCUUCAAGGGUUUACCUUUACGAAUUGUAGUUUAAAGAAGUGUUUUCUGUUGGAGUUUCGGUAAAAGUUCUUUGGAAUAGGACAUCAUAGAGGGUGAGAAUCCCGUAUUUGACCGUUACUUUCAGCUGUGUGAUACACUUUCAAAGAGUCGGAUUGUUUGGGAAUGCAGUCCAAAAUGGGUGGUAAAUUUCAUCUAAAGCUAAAUAUUGGCGAGAGACCGAUAGCGAACAAGUACCGUGAGGGAAAGAUGAAAAGAACUUUGAAAAGAGAGUUAAACAGUACGUGAAAUUGUCAAAAGGGAAGCGUUUGACACCAGUGUUGUUUAGUUGAAAAUCAAUUCAAUAGUUUUCGAUUCUAAGUAGUAUUGACCUUCAUCAGCUUGCUGCUUUCUUCUCAGGAAAUUAUUUAAUGCACUUUUCAGUUAACAAGUCAACAUCAAUUUCUUUUGUUGUAAAAGGGUAAGAGGAAGGUGGCUUGCGCUUCGGCUCAAGUGUUUAUAGCCUUUUAUCUCUGCAAUCGGAGAGAUUGAGGUCUGCAGCGUAGAUCCUUCGGGGUUAGAUACAUUGUGCUAAGCUAUAGCCUUGUAUAGACAACUUGUUGACUAUGCUCAGUCAUGUAGCUUACUCGCUUAUGCUAUUUUACCUACGCUUAGGAUGUUGAACGCGCACAGAGUCUC
Molecule: ribosomal RNA, 776 nt
Filed under: uncultured Neocallimastigales
Lineage: Eukaryota; Fungi; Neocallimastigomycota; Neocallimastigomycetes; Neocallimastigales
Description: partial large subunit ribosomal RNA
Rfam family: Eukaryotic large subunit ribosomal RNA
Source: RNAcentral